This 346-nucleotide ribosomal RNA is filed under the name uncultured fungus. RNAcentral describes it as "SSU rRNA". It matches the Rfam family "Eukaryotic small subunit ribosomal RNA", at positions 20 to 372 of the family's 1831-position model. Lineage: Eukaryota; Fungi. The record is from RNAcentral.
GUAGUCAUAUGCUUGUCUCAAAGAUUAAGCCAUGCAUGUCUAAGUAUAAGCAAUUAUACAGCGAAACUGCGAAUGGCUCAUUAAAUCAGUUAUCGUUUAUUUGAUAGUACCUUACUACAUGGAUAACCGUGGUAAUUCUAGAGCUAAUACAUGCUAAAAAUCCCGACUUCGGAAGGGAUGUGUUUAUUAGAUUAAAAACCAAUGCCCCUCGGGGCUCCUUGGUGAUUCAUAAUAACCUCUCGAAUCGCACGGCCUUGCGCCGGCGAUGGUUCAUUCAAAUUUCUGCCCUAUCAACUUUCGACGGCUGGGUCUUGGCCAGCCGUGGUGACAACGGGUAACGGAAUAA